UUUGCGUGGAUGAUGCCACAGGUAGGCUGAUGCCUGGAGUGAGUGAGAGCGUUACCGGUGUCUUUUUGCUCCCGCACUCUUCCUCUCCUCUCCCUCUGUCUCUCACUCUCUCACUCUGCCUCCGUCCGUCUCUCUAUCACGGUGGGGUGAGCGCACGUCUGCGCGCGCGAGUGUGUUCGCGUCGCGUGCCACGCUCAGUGCUCAGUAGGAGUGGGAGAGAGAGAGAGAGAGAGAGAGAGGGAGAGGGAGAGGGAGAGAGAGAGAGAGAGAGCGGGCGCGUGAAGUGAAGUGAGCGAGUGAGCCAAGCGAAGGUAGGUGUGUCCGGGAGGCAGAGGUAGAAAGGUAGAGUCGUGGCUCCUCGCCCCGGCAAGCGCGCACACCCACCCGCCGUCCGCCGGCUCUCAUCUGUACUCUCACUCACUCACUCACACACUCACACACACGCACACACACACACACGGAGGCAGGAUGUCGGCUUCUGUGUAGAGCGGAGAGGACGCGCUCCGUGACGAGCAGUUGUCCACCCUCACCACGACCACUUCUGGAGGACCCCCCGCGUCUGUUCUUCCUCAUCCACCUCCACCUCCUCCUUCUCUAGCCAACAAGAUAGACACUCCCCAAGGAAGGACCCUCGUCCUUUGACUUGUCGAAACGAACAACGACGAACGCAACACACGGAUAGAUAAGAACGAAAGAACAUCUUACCACGCCGAGUUACCACGGGAGUGAUCUAGAAGUGUCCAGCAAGAGUGUGACCAUUUCCGUCGGCUACUGGAUUGAAGAAGCUUUCGUGAUUGAAGAAGCUUUCGUGAUUGAAGAAGCUGUGGUGAUUGAAGAAGCUGUCGUGAUUGAAGAAGCUUUCGUUCGUACCGGUCAGCUGGCUGUUUUACUUCGGUCGCUGGAUUGAAUUCGGAUUUCUGUGUUGUGUUAAUUAUUUAAUUCUCAAGUUGCAAGUCGCCGUCGGGGGUACUUGUCUCUGUCUUCGCGUUGUGUGUUUGGCUGGAUGAACAGAGCGAGUUACUGGUUCGUUGUUGGCGGUGGCGUCAUAUCGUCCGGUGUAUAUAAAAUAUCGCGGUGACCGUGCCUCGGGUCUGGGUGGACAGACACUACAUGCACUCGUUGACCUUUUGGCCCGGUCUGUGAGUGGACACGGCACGCACUCGUUGACCUUCUGUGAGUGGACACGGCAUGCGCUCUUUGGCCUUCUCGCCCGUCUGUAGUCCUGCUGCCAGCCAGCGGUGAAGUCGUUCGGGCUAGAGCGAGGUCCAGGCAGCUGCUGCUGCUGUCGUUGUUGUCAGUUGUCCCCCGUGAGAUCCUCCUGUGUGCCACAGACACCCGCCCACCGCCCCCGCGUCAUCUCCAGUGUGUCGUGUGUCGAGUUCUCCAUACUUUUUGUGUUUUUUUGUUGUUUUUUUUACCUUCCUGCGAUUCAACUUCGCUUUCUUUUGGAUUUUGCCGUUAGUAUCUUUAUUUCUCAAGUGUGGUGGUAAUUAUGCUCUCGUGCGUUUGUGGAAGUUUUGUGACAUUUCUACCAAUUUUUGUGAAUUGAAAGUGAGUGUAUCCAGCGAAGUGCAUCAACAUGUUCACCACGAUGUCUGUAGGUUUGUCUUGAAGUAAAGGGAGAAAAAAAAGGAUACAUGAGAACAUCACAAUCAAAUUGGACGAAGAAUUAAGCA
RNAcentral lists this long non-coding RNA (1676 nucleotides) under Aplysia californica (California sea hare). RNAcentral describes it as "uncharacterized LOC118478055". Lineage: Eukaryota; Metazoa; Mollusca; Gastropoda; Aplysiida; Aplysiidae. The record is from RNAcentral.